RNAcentral lists this transfer RNA (73 nucleotides) under Limosilactobacillus portuensis. Its description in RNAcentral is "tRNA-Trp". It matches the Rfam family "tRNA". Rfam says of the family: Transfer RNA (tRNA) molecules are approximately 80 nucleotides in length. Their secondary structure includes four short double-helical elements and three loops (D, anti-codon, and T loops). Further hydrogen bonds mediate the characteristic L-shaped molecular structure. tRNAs have two regions of fundamental functional importance: the anti-codon, which is responsible for specific mRNA codon recognition, and the 3' end, to which the tRNAs corresponding amino acid is attached (by aminoacyl-tRNA synthetases). tRNAs cope with the degeneracy of the genetic code in two manners: having more than one tRNA (with a specific anti-codon) for a particular amino acid; and 'wobble' base-pairing, i.e. permitting non-standard base-pairing at the 3rd anti-codon position. Lineage: Bacteria; Bacillati; Bacillota; Bacilli; Lactobacillales; Lactobacillaceae. RNAcentral also lists the same sequence under 1 other name. The record is from RNAcentral.
ACAGAAGUAAGUCAAUUGGCAGACGUUCGGUCUCCAAAACCGAUUCAUCUAGGUUCGAGUCCUAGCUUCUGUG